RNAcentral lists this long non-coding RNA (1597 nucleotides) under Mytilus galloprovincialis (Mediterranean mussel). Lineage: Eukaryota; Metazoa; Mollusca; Bivalvia; Mytilida; Mytilidae. The record is from RNAcentral.
UUUUUAAGUGGACAGUACCAUAUAUAUAGACUUGACUGUGACUACAUUUUGAAUAAUUAUCUCAGUGCGCUGUUUGCUUUUUGAGAAGAAUUGCAAGCAAUUUCUGUCUAAUUUAUCUGUCAUGUGGUCGAUUUCGAUAGUUGCGCUUAGUUUGAUCCAUUAUGGAUAUGUAAGUAAAGCUUAUAUUUAUUCACAUAGACGUGAAGCUCUAAUAAUAAUAUCAGAACAUUCAAGCUUCUAGACCAAAAUCUCUUACUUGGCUUUUAAACAUUAAGAUUCUGCCCUCGUAAAUAUGCGUUGCACAGUGUCACUGACCUGUUAAAAGUCGACUUGGCAAAUCAGAACGUCUAAAACAGUAAAUGUAAAACUUUUUUGAAUAUGUCAACUUUGACUUUUUGCUGAUCUAAUGUUCUAUCCAAUUCAUUUUUGUGGCAAGAGCAGUUACUUUAUAAAGUGCUUGUUGUUCUCAUUGCACAGAUACGAAGUUACAACAACAAAUCAUUAUAAUAAUUUCUAUAUAAAUUUACACUUGCACUUCAACUAAGGUUUCAACUCACUCAAGCAAAGUUGGCCUUAGGUGGAUUUGACUAUUUUGUAUGUCCUUUAUGGUUUAUAGCUCUUCGUUUUCGGUCCUCAUACAUCCUUGGCUUUUAACUACUCGGCCGUUUAAGCGUUCCUGAUGUAGGUAAAUCCAUUAAAGCGCUUCGGACGCAUGAAAUUUAUUUCGUGUUGUUUUCAUUUUUUACAGCACUGAGUCGAUACCUCUGCUGUUAGACUAUCAGACCCCGUUGGUAAUUAUCAUCAAUUCGGUAGUCAGUACUUAGGUACUGACAUGAUUUAUAACAAAUUAUUUAAAAUUGCCAAUUUACAAAUUUUGAAAUUAUGCAGAAACUAAGGUUUCAACUCCCUCAGGCAAAGUUGGCCUUAGAUGGAUUUUGUUAUAUUUUUAUGUCCUUUUUUAGAUAAUUUGUUAUAAAUCAUGUCAGUACCGAAGUCCUGAAUACCGAGCUGAUGAUAUGACCAUCUACACAAGUGGCUUUUGUGUUUAUUUAAAAGAGAACAUAAGGAAUUACCAUGUAUCUAGUUUACAAAUCAUCAAAAUAAAACAAAUAUACACUAACACAUCAGUGAAUUUAAUAUGCGAAAGCUUCGCUGAGAUUAUUAAACUGAAACUGUACUUUAUAUCAUAUUUCGAUAUAUAUUGGUAGGCUUACACAAAAGUAUACUGUGUGAAAAUUAAUUAAAAAAAAGUUUAAAUCAAUUUAAUCACAUUGAAAUGAAAAAUGAUAGAUAGUAUAAUUCUAGAUUUUUAAUGCAUUGACUUCAAUGAAAUAAAAUGUACAUCACUUAAUUAUGUCCUCAUUAUAUAUAAGUUGCACAAUAAAUCAUUUCAACAAUUGUAUUGUAAAUAUCUCGAAUAUGCUAUAUACUUUAUUAAAUUUUUAUUAUUUUCAACAGAUUUUAGCAAACGACGUGAAGCCUAAUAGUAAGUCAUAGUUAUCCACAGCUUUAUAUUUAUAAAAUUAUUCCUGUAAAACUAAAAUACUACACGGUAAAUUAAAAAUUUUGCAAUGUAUAUUCCAUCAAUAUCAGGACA